UACGAAGGGGGCAAGCGUUAUUCGGAAUCAUUGGGCGUAAAGGGCGCGUAGGCGGCCUGGCAAGUCAAAGGUGAAAUCCCUCGGCCCAACCGAGGAACUGCCUUUGAAACUGCAAGGCUUGAGGCCGGGAGAGGGUAGCGGAAUUCCCAGUGUAGCGGUGAAAUGCGUAGAUAUUGGGAGGAACACCAGUGGCGAAGGCGGCUACCUGGACCGGUUCUGACGCUGAGGCGCGAAAGCGUGGGGAGCAAACAGG
Molecule: ribosomal RNA, 253 nt
Filed under: uncultured bacterium
Lineage: Bacteria
Description: partial 16S ribosomal RNA
Rfam family: Bacterial small subunit ribosomal RNA
Source: RNAcentral